This 73-nucleotide transfer RNA is filed under the name Capra hircus (goat). It matches the Rfam family "tRNA". From Rfam's summary of the family: Transfer RNA (tRNA) molecules are approximately 80 nucleotides in length. Their secondary structure includes four short double-helical elements and three loops (D, anti-codon, and T loops). RNAcentral also lists the same sequence under 1 other name. The record is from Rfam by way of RNAcentral. Lineage: Eukaryota; Metazoa; Chordata; Mammalia; Artiodactyla; Bovidae.
UCCCUGGCUGUCCAGUGGUCAAGACACUGCACUCCCGAUGCAGGGGGCACAGGUUCGAUCCCUGGCUGGGGAA